This is an RNA transcript of Pyrgilauda ruficollis (rufous-necked snowfinch), 9420 nucleotides long. It is a transcript of the gene named USP6 N-terminal-like protein, with no coding region annotated. The record is from RefSeq and is a predicted model, not a curated record. The transcript is spliced from 17 exons. NCBI's taxonomy places the organism in Eukaryota, Metazoa, Chordata, Aves, Passeriformes, Passeridae.
CCCAGUGCGCCUGCGCGGGAGCGCGACGGCCGGGGCUCGGCGGCGGGCCGGGCUGGGCGCGCGCCGGGAGAGGAGGAUGCGCCCCGCGGAUUUGCCAGUUCCUGUAUGCCCAUGGGAAUCGUGUUCUGGCUCCUUGACAGUGCUAUAGGAGAAGCUGAUGUUCUGAACAGUGAGCCUGGGGAACAAGACAGUGUGGAUUGCCACCUGCCUUGCCUCUUCUCCCAGCCGCCUGCAGUGAGCUCUCACGUGCCAGCGGACGAGGGUGGAGGAGAGUGGCCACGUGAAGCUGGGACAGUGUGGGUGAGCCAAAGGGCUUUUGACCAGUGGGCUGUGGCAACUGGGGGUCCUCACCACCCUGCAGGAGAGACAACUGGCUCCUGCCAGGUAGAUGCCUUCAGGGGAGUGGCCAACUCCAGCUGAACUGAUGAAUCUUGGCACCUGAUACAAGGCUCAGCUUCUGAUAUGAAGAAGGAUAUAGAGUCUUUAAUAGCCCAGGAAAAAGCAGAAAUCGUCGCCAAGUAUGAGAAGGGCAGACAGGAAGGAGCUCAGAUUGACCAGUGGGAAGAUGCCGAUUUCACCCUCUACAAAGUUACAGACCGGUUUGGAUUCCUGCACGAGCAGGAGCUGCCAACCCGCACCGCCUUGGAGGAGAAGCAAAAACAGCAGGAAAUAGAACGUGUGGACAAGUGGCUUAAGAUGCUGAAGAAGUGGGGCAAAUACAGAAACAGUGACAAGAUGUGCCGGCGUGUGUACAAAGGGAUCCCACUUCAGGUGCGAGGCCAGGUCUGGUCACUUCUGCUGGAUGUCGAGAAGAUGAAGAAGGAGAAUGAAGGAAAAUAUGAGCAAAUGAAAGAACAAGCAAAAAAUUUUUCAUCGGAAAUCAAGCAGAUAGAUUUGGAUGUUAACCGCACCUUCCGAAACCACAUCAUGUUUCGGGAUCGCUACGGAGUGAAGCAACAGGCACUCUUCCACGUCCUGUCAGCAUACUCAGUUUAUAACACUGAAGUGAGCUACUGCCAAGGGAUGAGCCAGAUUGCAGCCAUCCUCCUGAUGUACUUGAAUGAAGAGGAUGCGUUCUGGGCGCUGGCACAGCUGCUCACCAACCAGCGCCACGCCAUGCACGGUUUUUUCAUUCCUGGGUUCCCGAAGCUGCAGAGGUUUCAAGCCCACCAUGAGCAAAUUUUAAACAAACUGUUCCCCAAACUGAAGAAGCACAUGGACAAGGAGCAGAUGACCACCGGGAUUUACACAACCAAGUGGUUCCUGCAGUGUUUCAUUGACCGGACCCCAUUCACGCUGACCUUGCGGCUGUGGGAUAUUUACAUCCUGGAAGGGGAGCGAGUGCUGACAGCCAUGGCUUACACCAUCCUCAAACUGCACAAAAAGCGCUUGCUGAAGAUGGCACUGGAAGAUUUACGUGAAUUUCUGCAGGAGAAAAUUGCUGCUUCCCUGCAGUACGAGGACGAUGCUGUCAUCGAGCAGCUGCAGGUGUCAAUGACUGAACUGCGCAAAAUGAAGUUUGACCUGCCCCCACCAGCAAAGCCUGAGGAGUUUCCAAGGAAACCCCUGGGCCUGGAGCUCUCCCUCAACCCAGUAGCCAUAAAGGAGAACACAGCGGCCAAUGGCCAGAAUGGCCAGGUGGGUGAGCACACCCCAGACAGGGAGCCUCAUCGCCACAGAGUUCCUGGCACACCAGAAGGAGUGACAGUGGUGGAAGCGAGGAUUCUCACCUUCCAGGGUAGUGAAGCAGUUGAAGCAACAAACGUGCCUGUUUCGGGUGGGCAGCCACCAGAUGAGGAGGGUCAGGUGGAGCCCAUCAUGGACGGGCAGCCAUCAUCUCUUCUGAAGGCAAGCGAGACGCAGGCCCAGCAACACCUCCUGCCCACAGUCCUGCCUCCAGAGGAGCCUCUUCUUGCUCCUGGCUGUGCCGCGGUGGACCAUGGAGUCUCCCUCCAUGCCCCAGCUGAGCACAGCUCCUUAGACUCCUCUCUCCAAAACAGGCCAGCUCCUCCCGACUCCAGCACCGCUGAGCUUUCCUCUACGGACCAGGCAGUGUGGCAGCCAAAUCCCGCUGCCCUGCCAGCAGGAGAACAGGCAUCUUCCCUGAGCAGAGACACAGUGCUCGAAGCAGCCCCCCAUCCUCUGCCAGCCGGCUGCCAGCAGCUCUCCUGCACUUCACAGAGCGAUGACUCCCCCGAGAGCGAGCGCGGGGAGGAGGCGGCGGAUGACAGGCACUGCAGGGCGGUGCUGCCGGACAAAAUGGGCCUGAAGCGCUCGGCAUCCAAAGCUGCAUCCACAGGAGAGCUCCUCAGCCUGCAGCACAAUGGGCCGGGCAGUGCCACCACGUGCUGGCCCGAGGCCGUGGGCACGCUGCCCGCGCACAGGCAGGCGGGGGGCAGUGUGCCCACCUUGUCCAGCAGAGAGCCGGAGGCAGCGGGGCUGGCCGAGGGCUGCCCCGCCCAGCGGGCACCGUCCCCUCUGGUGGAAGGGAACAGCCCUUAUGUCAUUAUCAAAACCACCACACCCCUCCACCUGGCCCAUGCGACAGAGCAGGACUUCUUGAACAGAAAGCAGGUGGCGUUGCCUCUGUCAGAGACUGGACAUCCUCUGCCUACCACCUCCAUGCCACCACCUCUUAUGGCAGACCCAGAGGAGGUAGAGGUCCAGAAAAGCCUCCAGAAACCAUUAAAUGCACUGAAAGCCCCACGACCCCCACUGAGCCCCAAACCAAAAUUACCGCCACAGGUUGCCAAAUCCCGCUCAGAGAACAGUUUCCUUUCAGGCUCUCCUUCCCUGGCAAAGAUGCCCAAAUCAGUGACGUUCUAGUGGGGAUGGGGAAGGGGAAGUUAAGGGAGAAGAAGUGGGUUCUGGAGAAGCACCCUUGUCCCAUUUACAGGAUCCCCUUCUGUCAGCAGGGCUGUCAGGGUGACAGCACAGCACCAUCACACAUCAAGCUGUGCUUUGGUACGAGCACCCAGCGAGGAGACGAAGCAGUGCCCACCAGCACUAGGAGACACCAGCAGAUUGGAUUGGCGUGUUCCCUAUGGACAAAUUGAAAAAUGCUUUCAUUUUUUGUUCCUCAAAGCUCCCCAAGUCUCAUCACUUGGGGGAAGAGGCAGGGCUGGUUAAAAUCUGGCCUGAAACAUCACAGAAAAACAAAAAGAAAGCCCCAGCACCACUGAACACUACAGUUUACUGUCACAGAAGCAGCCUGAGGAUGCAGCUCUUCGCACAUCUCCUGUGCCAUUUCACACUGGAUGCCAGCACAGGGAUGCAGCACUGUGACCAAGGGUGAGAUCCUCAGGCUGGAGAGAAGCAAACCUCAUCCCUCCUGUGUUCCAGGUGCUCACAAGCAGCCUCAUUGCACAUGCUGCUUUGUGUCACCUCCCAGCCACCAGCUCCCGUGAACCUGUUGGCUCUCAGGCAGUGCCAGGUGGGACCAGGUUUGAACAUCUGCCAUGGUUACUUACGUGACAGGCAGUGCAGGGUUCAGAAAUGGCAUUUACCCAACUGCUAAAACAGCAUCCCCGUCAAGGAGAGAGCAGAAGUGUCCAGAAGGGCAGCUUCCCCAAGGGAAGGUGAGUUGUGCUAGGUUUGAGGGUUGUGUUCCUCCAUUAAACAGCCUUGGUUCACUUGGUUGUUGAAAAAAAAUGGAGGAAGAUUGCUCAUUGGUAUCCUUGAUUCCCAGGCUCCCUGCAUUUGCCUGGUUGUGGCCUUGCGGCUGUGGUACUCUCACCCUGUUCCUGCAGGGACCAGGGUCAGGCAUGGCUCCACCACCUCCUCUUACAGCAUCCCUCCAGCUAGUGCAGGAGCCACAGAGGUACCCAGCCUUGAACUGGUGCUUGAUGGGGCUCUCAGGUAUGGUUUUGGGGUGCCAAGCACCCACUGCAGAGACUCUUCUCAUGGGGAGACCACCCCUGGGACUUGCCCACAGGUAAGCCUAAGCCCUUCCCUCUCUUACCAGGCAGUGUAAGACCUCAGGGUGAACAUAAGCCAUGCCUGGUGUCCAGCCUGGACUGAAGGUCUGGCCUCCAGCUGCUGCCAGGAGCACCAGGUCAUGGCAUGCUCCUUGCAGCAGGGAGGUGCUCGUGUCCCUGAGGGGAUGGGAGGGUAGACAGCUCCUGUGUCAUUCCAGCAGUACCCCUUGCCCCGUCCUGUGCCCUUCAGGACCUGACUGCUGCUCGCAGAGGACAAAUAUUAGGACAAUCCCAAAGCCCAAGGUUACAGAUACCCACUUGAUGGACAUCAUUGGGACCAGCAGCAAAUGAGUGUCACAGAUGCUGUGGAGGCUGCUGCUUAAAUCCUAGAGGUCUUAUCAGCCAGGGACUGGUCCUCCCACUGCCUCUUCCUCUGCAUUUGGUAUUUGCCAGUAUUAAUGUCCCCCUUUUCCUGGUGGAGCCAUUUCUGUCGUCACAGCAGCUCUCCAGCUCCCAGGGCUGGUCUCCAAGGCAGAACUGCAAACUCCCCAAGCUGUGCUCAGCUUCGGUGCCCUGGCAGCCCCCUGUGGCUCCUGUCCUUCCUGGCUCAGGAACAGCCAAACCAGCAGUCCCAGCAGGAGACCAGGUCUGUCCUCGCUGCACACUGGCUCUUAGGCAAGCCCCGGCUGUGCUCAUCACCAUCCCUGCCCACCUCCCACGACAUGGAAAGCUCAUCAACGGCUGCAUGCCUCCACAAGGCUUCAGCCACUUGGCACUGAAUAAUUGAUGCUAAGUGGAGCCUGGAGCAGACAAGCUGAGGGAGGGAGCAAGGCUUUGUGCUGCUUUAGGCUCUGCUCCCAGGAUAUAGCAGGAGGAGAGAGAUGGGUGUGCUGUGUCUGGCAGCUUUGUGCCCCAGCCAGUUUCACAGAGGCAGUUGGAGUUUGGCUGGACCUGGGAGUGUUCUUCCUCUUCGCCUUGCUGUGCUGCUCACGUGCUUCUGUGUCCUACUGCCAUGGUGGUGCUGCUGUGCUGUUAUCCAUUACCUGCUGCUUGUGGCACCUGUGGGAUUUGCAUGCUGCUGUCAUGCUGCUCUCGUGCUCAUUGUGUGCUGCAGAGGGGCCAUGGCAUCAGUGGAUGGGUCUUGGGGAGCAGAUCAAGGGCACCCCCAGUCCCAGCAGCCCUUGCUAGGGCUGGUACCAUGGCUCUCCUAAGCUACACACCCUGUACUUAACCCAUAGCAAGAGCAAAGUGGUUGCACAUGGGGCCAAGCCCAUCUGCCUCUUCCCCUUCCCACCAGCUGCUGGUGGCCAGGAUGGUGGCUGUCACACCAUCCUCUGAGCAAUGUCACCCCCUUCCUACAGCACAUCUCCAAGUAUAAAGCAGUGUAUGGAGAAAAUAACAGCCUGGCAGUUUAAAGAGGCAGGUCUGACCACUUCCCAAACCAUCUCCCAAAUCCUACUGCCUCAGUGGCUGAGGAGGCCCACAGGGCAUACACCAGCAUCCUCUUCACCUAGAAGGAUGUGGACACCAGGAGAUGACCAAACCACAGCUGAAACAUCUCACCAGGAGAUGCAGCAGGUGGACCCAUCCCACGGGCAUCCUUACUCACUGGCAGCAGUUACAAAAGAGCCCAAGAUGGGGAUGGAGAAGGCUUAGAAGGCACACAUGAAGACAUGAGUCCAAGGAAUUGGAGUCACUAAAGCCUGGCUAUUCUUCCACAUAGCAAAACAGGUUCCUCCUAAGACACAGAGAAAAGUAAACUAAGAAAUUUCCAAUUUUGUCCAAAACUGGUAUGAGCUCCCUUAGAGGUACCUGUGGCUACAUGGGAUGCAAUAUCACAAGCCCCCCUUCCAACCAUCCCAUUAAGAGCCUGGGCCACUCUGGUGCCCUGGAGCUGCUCAGCCUGGCCUCACAUCAGAGCCCUGCUCCUGGAACAUCUAAGCCUACAGACUUAGAUAACCUCAGGCUUGGGGAAGCUGUUUCUUGAGUGGCUUUGCUUACCUUUAUGGUGAAGGCAAGAAGUGAUACAGAAGUACUGCUUAGGCUGGAAAAGUGUGCAGCAGUGGCUGUAGUCCAGAAGGGAAACCUGGUCUGCUCCUCUACCCAACCACAACUGCAGGUGAGGAGGAUGAGGCCAGCAUUUAGCCAAAGCUCCUCUCUAAUACUCAGCCUUUCAUUCAGCUGCCCCCACCACUACCUCACAUCUCAGGUCUCACCCCAGCACUGAGUCAUUGCUGCCAGCUCCUGCACAACCCAGGUCUUUGCCAAAGCCCUCGGCAAGCACUGUGCACUCACCUGCUUUGGAGUCACCCUCUCUGCUGGCUUAGGAGAAUGCUCCUGUGGAAGCCCUCACAGACCAAAAGGCAUGAGAUCUGUUCCAGCACUUGAUCAGCAUCUUUAAGGACUUGUAAGCAAUUCUGGCAGUUGACUCAGCUGUGAUGUCUCUGGAGCCCCAACCCCUCUGUAACAGGGUGUGGGGCACUUAAAUUAUGUGAGAGAAGAACGUGUUAUACGCCUGUCCUGAGACAUCUGGACCUGACCAGACUAGAACAGACCUCAUCAGCUCUUCUGUAAUUUAAGUACGAGUUCAAAGGUGGCACUCCUCCAUCAUGGGAUAUGCAGUCUCAACAUAAUCAGAAGGAGGCUGACUGAAGCCUUCUCAGAGCUGGUUUUCACACUGGCUGGAGAUCCACAGCACAGCACAAGUUUAGUUCAGCUUUGCCAUGGCCAGCUGAAGACAUCACAACAGACAGAGAUGAGCUGAUGUACUCAAAUAUAGCAAAAAGCUCACCUGUGUGGACUCUUCCAGCUUCAGCUAUGCAACAGGAAUAAUCAAAAUACAUUCUGCUCACCUGAGCUGUGCCUCUGAAGCAGAACUGAGGUACACAACAGACUCCUUAUCAUAAGGGAAACAACUGCAGUGUCUGAAAACUUCAUCUUCCAUUCCAGGUACUUCUAGAACAAAAGUGCCUUGAAUAACUAUGGAGAAAAUCAACUCCAAACCCCUCAGUUUCUCCAAACCUACAUUCACUCCAGUAAAACUGUAAUCCUGGUAUUACUUUCACACUCGAGAAGUUCAGCUAGCACAUCAGAACACAUCGUGAGCUCACGUACCGACCUCCUGCCUGUCAGGGGUUAGCAAGAUGAUGUGCUGUCCCCAGAUAAUCAGCACCAAGGUAGCAAGUGAAAAAGCCAAGUCAAGAGUAACAGCUUCACCUGAGAGAAGUGAUACAAUCUGGUUUUUGCCAACAGCAAAGAUCAGACCAGAUCACAGUUGAGGCAUCUUGAUCUGUCGUGAUUUUCCUCCUGGAACAAAGAUGCAGUAUGACAAUACACAAUUAAUACAUGGUUUUUGGAGACAAUCUGUGGUGUCAAGCUUUUCGCACCUCCUUUUGCUCCUAACCUACCUCCAACUUUUAGCAUGGACUUGAACAAUGACCUGAGUUUGGAUUUCUUGUGACCCAGUUACAGCAAAAAACUAACCAGCUCCUGUGAUGGUCUGUCACUGACCAGGACUGUCUCACAAGCUUGAAAAUCUUCCCCUGAGUGCAGAAACCUCUCUGAAAAGGAGAUGCUAUUACUUCAGCUUCCUGCUCCUCACCAAACUCUUCUAAGUAGCUGGUAUUCCGGCCAGUGCUGUUCUAGCAUAUUCUCACAAAGAUGUGCCAGUUUCUUGGAACUGCAGCUAUUACCUGCCCUGUGAAGACACCUUGGCCCUGGCACUCCCUGGAGCUCCUCAGCUUCCUUGACCGUAGCUCCCAGUACUUGGCAUUUGUCUCCCAGCCAGAAAUGAGAGGAGACUCUCAGUGGUUAGAGCCACCCAGUCCUUGAGAGAGCCCCAGAGUGUUACUUCUCCUCUGAAGACCUCCAGAUAGAUCUAUCCCAUCCUUCACCAAGGGCCUGAGGAAGGAAGGGGUAAGUCCUACUGCAGAUGAAGAGCACCACAUUCCUACUGCAGAAACACUACCAAGCAAUGAUGCCCCCAUGUCAUCUUCUAGAAGGACAUAGUACUGCUGUCCUGUGGCCAGUUGUGCACAAGAUGCCAACUUUAGGAACAACCCCCAUACUUCCAGUCUUCACACUUGAAACAACUCAGAGUGGGAGGUUUUCUGGGAGUCUCUGGUCCAGUCCCACCAUGUAACACUAGGUUCAGCAUCUUCAGCAGUCCUUCAGCACAGGGACAGACACUGCUGUAAACAGCACACCCAGCUAAAGGCAGGGCACUCUCCCCUCAGGUAACUUCUCCCACUCCAGGAACCGGUAUCAGCCCUUCUGCGGGAACAGGGUGCCAGGCAGCUGCAGCCAGGGUGGGGGCUGUGCCCUACAGCAGUUCAGAGCAGGCAUUUACAGAAAGCAAGCCAUUAGCACAAGUCCUCUCUUGCCCUGGCCAAAAGCAAAGACAGUACCCCCAAGGAGCAUGGGAGUUGAAUUCUGUUGCUUUAAUUCUGCUGCUGCCUGGCAUUAUGGAGGAUGGGGUGUGGUAUGGGAGGAUGCUUGCAAGGAUGCUGGGAAACCCUGGGUGGGCUGUGGCUUUGUGCUGGGGGUGACCAGGGUUUCUUUACUGGUUUUGCCAUGUGAGGCAUGUGACUCACACCACCCUCGCUGCUCCCAACCCAGACCAACCUUGGCUGCCAAACCCAGCACCUCUUCAGGCCUGGGCUAGCCCAAGCAUAACAGCUCCCUGCCACACUCAGCUGGAUCACCUUCCCCCUUUGAUGCUUCUAAUUCUGGAUGCCAGGUAAAUUAGCAUGUGCAAUAGCUUGGAAGAGGGAAAGACAACAAGUGCCAAGCUACCCACUGCACUGAAUGCAAUGCCUUGUCUUGGGGCUGCAAGUAAAAGGCACGUAGGUCAGACCUCAGGCAAAAACCCCAAAGGAGCAGAGCUGAGCAGACAGGGUUCCCAACAGAUUAGCCCUAAUCUAAAACACUCUUACCCACUUGAAACCCAGGGACUGGAAGCCUGAAUCCUUUAGUCUUAGUUGCUGAGCAGCCAGCCAGCUUCUGCAGCGCAGGAGAGCCCUUCUCGACAUGCUCACCAGUCAGGAAGCUGUGCACAGGGCAGACGAGGAUUUGCUUACCUGUACACACUGGAGCAGCCCAAGGUGUAUGUGCUAUACAGGUGUUAGCAUAGCUAGGGCUGGAGGGGACCAAAAAGUCCCAAUUCUGCCUCUAGAGCACAACACAUGAGGGAGGUCUUGUGCCAGAAAGAGCUGACAGGAAAGGAAUCAGGGAAGGAACAAACUGGUACCAGCUGAGGUGAAACCAGCUCUCCAGUCUCCUCGCUGAUGCUUCUUCCCUUCCAGGCAUUGUAUCUGAGGCCAUAAAUCCCACAAGGACUAGGCUGAAAGCAAAGUACUCAAGGGGUGCCAAGAACAGGCUUGGACUGGUUGAACUCUUCCACCCUCCCAAAACUUGGGGCCAGCAGUUUCAGGUGGGCUGGGGAGGACAUAAAAAAGACUUGCUGGAAACACAGACAAGCUAUCUUGCCGUGAGACCUUGUCUC